RNAcentral lists this ribosomal RNA (379 nucleotides) under uncultured Flavobacteriia bacterium. RNAcentral describes it as "bacterial SSU rRNA". It matches the Rfam family "Bacterial small subunit ribosomal RNA", at positions 521 to 896 of the family's 1533-position model. The record is from RNAcentral. Lineage: Bacteria; Pseudomonadati; Bacteroidota; Flavobacteriia.
UAAUACGGAGGGUGCAAGCGUUAUCCGGAUUUAUUGGGUUUAAAGGGUGCGCAGGCGGAAUGAUAAGUCAGUGGUGAAAUCCUACAGCUCAACUGUAGAACUGCCAUUGAUACUGUCACUCUUGAGUACAGUGGAAGUGGGCGGAAUGUAUCAUGUAGCGGUGAAAUGCAUAGAUAUGAUACAGAACACCGAUUGCGAAGGCAGUCUACUAAUUAUGUACUGACGCUGAGGGACGAAAGCGUGGGUAGCGAACAGGAUUAGAUACCCUGGUAGUCCACGCCGUAAACGAUGGAUACUAGCUGUUGGUUUGACUUCGGUUGAAUCAGUGGCCAAGCAAAAGUGAUAAGUAUCCCACCUGGGGAGUACGUUCGCAAGAAUG